AUGGUCGAAGAUUCCCAGGCAGGGCCCCACCUUUGGGUGUGGUCAAUUUCCCCAAUGUGGCAGGUCUCCAGGCGGAAGGGUGCUGGCUGGUUGUCUUCCGAGGCGCCAGGAGACCAGAGCUUUCAGGAGCUUGGCCUGGCCACACCCUCCUGGGCCCGCUGCGGGAGUUCCUGGUGGGCAGGGGCCUCAUAUGUCUUGUUCCCUCCCCCCAUAUUCCUGUCCUGUUGUGCAGUCAGCCUGGCACAACCCGGGUGCCCAGGAGAGGUGCCAAGUGAGGGCAUAACUGCAGGUCCAGAGUUUAAGGAGGACCAGGGCACAAAGCACUGUGGUUGCUUUGAGGAGACUUGCCUGUGGUUCUGGGAAUGGGAUCUAGAAAUAACCCAACCAACAGGGGGAAGUCAUAUUAGGAUUGGGGGAGUCAGGGCUGGAGACGGACCAGGGCACAGCCCUGCCGGAGCCCGGGGCUCUGACCUUGGGGUGUCUGCAGCUGCCCCCCACCCCGGCCCCGCCAUCUGUCCAGACCCCCAGGGUCUGAGCAUGGAGAAGAGGCAUCGCCUGGGGGGAGCAGGGCUCUUCCGAGCUGCUGGCAGCGGCAGCACAGCCCCCACCCCUGUUACCGCGCACCGGCAUCCACCUGGAGCCGGUCCCAGCAGCUCUGCUGAAACCUGGGUUCAGCAUACGGCGAUCUCAAAACUUAAUUAUGGAAAGAAGUUGGGAUUAAGGACCCCUCCAUUUAUCUUCCUGCCUGCUGUGGCUUGUCAACAGCUCGGAUCCGGAACGUCCUGCUCACGGUUCCGGAGGCUGAGCGGGCGGGAGGCGGCAGACGCUGGCGUUGGCAGGUCAGAGGCACAGGCUGCCCUGAGCCAAAAUGAGCAUCCUGAUUCAGGCCUAGUCCCUCCCCUCCACAGGAAGGGGAUGGAAGCCACAGCCGCCCACCAGGCCAGCCUGCCUCAUGCUGGGAAGCCUGUGUUCCCGCCUUCUGCUCUGCGGCCCCAUGCUUUCGAGCCAGGACUGAGACCGCCGGACGCUGGAGAACGUGGUGUAACCUCCAGAAUUCAACACCCUCAUGGCGUUUUGGAGCUCCCGCUGCGGGCUGCAGCCUCCGCCCACGCCGCACAACCCUGCCAGGUAGAGGGCAGUAGGGCAUUCCUCCACGUUACCUACCCCAGCCCUGUCUCUGAAAGGGCAACCUGCAGAAUGUGA
Molecule: long non-coding RNA, 1203 nt
Filed under: Callithrix jacchus (white-tufted-ear marmoset)
Lineage: Eukaryota; Metazoa; Chordata; Mammalia; Primates; Cebidae
Description: lncRNA (ENSCJAG00000082181.1)
Source: RNAcentral